This 407-nucleotide ribosomal RNA is filed under the name uncultured microorganism. RNAcentral describes it as "bacterial SSU rRNA". It matches the Rfam family "Bacterial small subunit ribosomal RNA", at positions 509 to 917 of the family's 1533-position model. The record is from RNAcentral.
CAGCAGCCGCGGUAAUACGUAGGGGGCGAGCGUUACCCGGAUUCACUGGGCGUAAAGCGGGUGUAGGCGGCUCGGUAAGUCGGGUGUGAAAUCCCACAGCUCAACUGUGGAAUUGCGCCCGAAACUGCUGAGCUUGGGGCCGGUAGAGGGAGACGGAACUGCCGGUGUAGGGGUGAAAUCCGUAGAUAUCGGCAGGAACGCCGGGGGGGAAGCCGGUCUCCUGGGCCGCGCCCGACGCUGAGACCCGAAAGCUAGGGGAGCAAACCGGAUUAGAUACCCGGGUAGUCCUAGCCGUAAACGAUGCCCACUAGGUGUGGGGGAUUAAUUCCUCCGUGCUGUAGCUAACGCGUUAAGUGGGCCGCCUGGGGAGUACGCCCGCAAGGGUGAAACUUAAAGGAAUUGGCGGG